UCCUGGCUCAGGAUGAAAACGCUGGCGGCGUGCCUAAUACAUGCAAAGUCGAGCGAACCACUUCGGUGGGAAGCGGCGAACGGGUGAGUAACACGUAGGUGAUCUGCCCAUCAGACGGGGACAACGAUUGGAAACGAUCGCUAAUACCGGAUAGGACGAAAGUUUAAAGAUGCUCCUGGCAUCACUGAUGGAUGAGCCUGCGGCGCAUUAGCUAGUUGGUGGGGUAAAGGCCUACCAAGGCGACGAUGCGUAGCCGACCUGAGAGGGUGAACGGCCACACUGGGACUGAGACACGGCCCAGACUCCUACGGGAGGCAGCAGUAGGGAAUCUUCGGCAAUGGGCGAAAGCCUGACCGAGCAACGCCGCGUGAAUGAAGAAGGCCUUCGGGUUGUAAAAUUCUGUUAUAAGGGAAGAAAGGUGAUAGGAGGAAAUGACUAUCAAUUGACGGUACCUUAUGAGAAAGCCACGGCUAACUACGUGCCAGCAGCCGCGGUAAUAC
This 500-nucleotide ribosomal RNA is filed under the name Clostridium sp. ARIAKE754. RNAcentral's name for it is "bacterial SSU rRNA". It matches the Rfam family "Bacterial small subunit ribosomal RNA", at positions 17 to 526 of the family's 1533-position model. Lineage: Bacteria; Bacillati; Bacillota; Clostridia; Eubacteriales; Clostridiaceae. The record is from RNAcentral.